GGAGAGUCAUAGCUCAGUGGUAGAGCAUCUGAUUUGCAUCCAGGUUCAAUUCCUGGCAUCUCCA
Podarcis lilfordi (Lilford's wall lizard) is the source of this 64-nucleotide non-coding RNA. The record is from the annotation of a GenBank genome assembly. NCBI's taxonomy places the organism in Eukaryota, Metazoa, Chordata, Lepidosauria, Squamata, Lacertidae.